CAGCAGCCGCGGUAAUACCAGCUCCAAUAGCGUAAAUUAAAGUUGUUGCGGUUAAAAAGCUCGUAGUUGAAUCUGUGUCGCACACCGUCGGUUCACCGCUCGCGGUGUUUAACUGGCGUGAUGUGGGACGUCCUACCGGUGGGCUUAGCCUCGCGAGGGGCGGCCCAACUAAUAUCCCGUCGCGGUGCUCUUUACUGAGUGUCGAGUCGGGCCGGUACGUUUACUUUGAACAAAUUAGAGUGCUUAAAGCAGGCUAUCCUCGCCUGAAUACUGCGUGCAUGGAAUAAUGGAAUAGGACCUCGGUUCUAUUUUGUUGGUUUUCGGAACCCCGAGGUAAUGAUUAAUAGGGACAGAUGGGGGCAUUCAUAUUGCGACGUUAGAGGUGAAAUUCUUGGAUCGUCGCAAGACGGACAGAAGCGAAAGCAUUUGCCAAAAAUGUUUUCAUUAAUCAAGAACGAAAGUUAGAGGUUCGAAGGCGAUCAGAUACCGCCCUAGUUCUAACCAUAAACGAUGCCAGCUAGCGAUCCGCCGAAGUUCCUCCGAUGACUCGGCGGGCAGCUUCCGGGAAACCAAAGCUUUUGGGUUCCGGGGGAAGUAUGGUUGCAAAGCUGAAACUUAAAGGAAUUGACGGAAGGGCACCACCAGGAGUGGAGCCUGCGGCUUAAUUUGACUCAACACGGGAAACCUCACCAGGCCCAGACACCGGAAGGAUUGACAGAUUGAUAGCUCUUUCUUGAUUCGGUGGGUGGUGGUGCAUGGCCGUUCUUAGUUGGUGGAGCGAUUUGUCUGGUUAAUUCCGAUAACGAACGUGACUCUAGCCUGCUAAAUAGGCGUACCUUAUGGUAUCUCGAAGGCCCCCGGCUUCGGCCGGCGGGUUUUUACUACCAACGUACAAACAAAUCUUCUUAGAGGGACAGCGGCUUCUAGCCGCACGAGAUUGAGCAAUAACAGGUCUGUGAUGCCCUUAGAUGUUCUGGGCCGCACGCGCGCUACACUGAAGGAAUCAGCGUGUGUUCCCUGGCCGAAAGGCCCGGGUAACCCGCUGUACCUCCUUCGUGCUAGGGAUUGGGGCUUGCAAUUGUUCCCCAUGAACGAGGAAUUCCCAGUAAGCGCGAGUCAUAAGCUCGCGUUGAUUACGUCCCUGCCCUUUGCACACACCGCCCGU
Molecule: ribosomal RNA, 1165 nt
Filed under: Leptothorax acervorum
Lineage: Eukaryota; Metazoa; Arthropoda; Insecta; Hymenoptera; Formicidae
Description: SSU rRNA
Rfam family: Eukaryotic small subunit ribosomal RNA
Source: RNAcentral